Non-coding RNA from Stegodyphus mimosarum, 73 nucleotides. Lineage: Eukaryota; Metazoa; Arthropoda; Arachnida; Araneae; Eresidae. The record is from Rfam.
GCCUUCGUGGUGUAGUGGUCAGCACGCUGAGCGAGUAUUUCAGAGGUCCGUGGUUCGAGUCCCGGCGAAGGCA